CCUACGGGAGGCAGCAGUGAGGAAUAUUGGUCAAUGGACGAGAGUCUGAACCAGCCAAGUCGCGUGAAGGAUGACUGCCCUAUGAGUUGUAAACUGCUUUUAUACAGGAAUAAAACGAGGCACGUGUGCCUUUUUGCAUGUACUUUAUGAAUAAGGAUCGGCUAACUCCGUGCCAGCAGCCGCGGUAAUACGGAGGAUCCAAGCGUUAUCCGGAUUUAUUGGGUUUAAAGGGAGCGUAGAUGGGUUGUUAAGUCAGUUGUGAAAGUUUGAGGCUCAACCUCAAAAUUGCAAUUGAUACUGGUAGUCUUGAGUACAGUUGAGGUAGGCGGAAUGCGUGGUGUAGCGGUGAAAUGCUUAGAGAUCACGAAGAACACCGAUUGCGAAGGCAGCUUACUAAACUGUGACUGACAUUGAUGCUCGAAAGUGUGGGUAGCAAACAGGAUUAGAUACCCCGGUAGUC
Molecule: ribosomal RNA, 460 nt
Filed under: uncultured bacterium
Lineage: Bacteria
Description: partial 16S ribosomal RNA
Rfam family: Bacterial small subunit ribosomal RNA
Source: RNAcentral